This is a long non-coding RNA of Homo sapiens (human), 655 nucleotides long. The record is from Ensembl. Lineage: Eukaryota; Metazoa; Chordata; Mammalia; Primates; Hominidae.
GGGCUCAGGCCCAGAGUGCCAGCUUUGCCCUAUCCCAUAGCCUGGAGCCACCACAGGAGGGGCACUCCACUCUCUUGGGCUCCUGGAGCCUCAGAGGCAGCUGGGCUGUGACAUGUGCUUCCUCUCGAAGAGCCAGUGGAUUUGAUGAGAAGCACCGAGAGCACCGCCCGGCUCCCGGCAUCUGCGAGGCCUCGCACAGAGCCAGCCGGGAGUGCAGGAGGGAGAACUUUCCUGUGGACGUCCUGUGUUCUCCAGACGCAGAGAACCCUCAUCAACCGAGGGGGAGGUCACUUCCGAAUCCACAGAUGGCGUGUGAGUGCAUGGCGAGCGCCUCCAGGACACACUUACUGUUCCCUUGCUCUGGCCAGACGCCAGCCGGACCCUGUGUGUGCGCGCCGUGCUGCUCUUUGCAGCUGCCUGCAAGGGGUUCCUGCGAAGACCAGCACCUUGGGGAAGAGCCUGCGGCUGAACUUGAACUCGCAGCUACCUGAGUCAGACCUGUGCUUUUUCACCUCUACGGAAGAUGUCAGAGCGUUUCCCUAGCAAUGUUUUAGAAGUUACUUCUGUCUGGAAAAAAAUGGAAAAAAUGGCAAAUUAUGUUAUGUAUAAUUUGAUAAUUUUAAAGAAUUAAUGAUGUAAUUAUUACUCAAACCCA